RNAcentral lists this transfer RNA (98 nucleotides) under Pseudomonas sichuanensis. RNAcentral describes it as "tRNA-Ile". Lineage: Bacteria; Pseudomonadati; Pseudomonadota; Gammaproteobacteria; Pseudomonadales; Pseudomonadaceae. The record is from RNAcentral.
GGGAUAUAGCAGAUAAGGCACCUUCAGGACACACCACCAUACAUAGGCAAAAAGGCCUCAUAAUCCUUUGGUCCACGGUUCGAGUCCGUGUGGGCCCA